Molecule: non-coding RNA, 46 nt
Filed under: Cinara cedri
Lineage: Eukaryota; Metazoa; Arthropoda; Insecta; Hemiptera; Aphididae
Rfam family: Histone 3' UTR stem-loop
About the family: The mRNAs of metazoan histone genes lack a poly-A tail. 3' end processing occurs at a site between a highly conserved stem-loop (modelled by this family) and a purine rich region around 20 nts downstream (the histone downstream element, or HDE).
Source: RNAcentral
AAAAAGGCCCUUUUCAGGGCCACCAAAAUAUCUUAUCCCUACUACU